Molecule: ribosomal RNA, 273 nt
Filed under: uncultured bacterium
Lineage: Bacteria
Description: partial 16S ribosomal RNA
Rfam family: Bacterial small subunit ribosomal RNA
Source: RNAcentral
UACGGGGGGGGCAAGCGUUGUUCGGAAUUACUGGGCGUAAAGGGCUCGUAGGCGGCCAACUAAGUCAGACGUGAAAUCCCCAGGCUCAACCUGGGAACUGCGUCUGAUACUGGAUGGCUUGAAUCCGGGAGAGGGAUGCAGAAUUCCAGGUGUAGCGGUGAAAUGCGUAGAUAUCUGGAGGAAUACCGGUGGCGAAGGCGGCAUCCUGGACCGGCAUUGACGCUGAGGAGCGAAAGCCAGGGGAGCAAACGGGAUUAGAAACCCCCGUAGUCC